RNAcentral lists this unclassified non-coding RNA (504 nucleotides) under Hevea brasiliensis (rubber tree). The record is from RNAcentral. Lineage: Eukaryota; Viridiplantae; Streptophyta; Magnoliopsida; Malpighiales; Euphorbiaceae.
GAGGUAAUGGAAAUUUAUGUGCUUCUUUAAUGACGAGCACACCCAAAUACCCAAAAGAUUUAAAAGACUCAAAACUACUGGCCUGCUGUAUGAAAAAAAAUCUGGUUUUCAAGGCUUAAAAACACAAUUCACAGUUCGUUUGGUCGAGAUAACAACGUUUAGUAUCUAAAAAGACUUGUAUGUGUUGGCCAGACAGACCAUAAUUUUCAGUUCAUUAGCUCUAUUCCCCUACAUAUGCACCAGCGGUGUACAAAGUCACAUCCUACAAUGGCAACAUCAUACUGUCACUACGCUAAACAAUAUCCACCUCCAACAUCUCUUCAUCUCGUCCAUCUUCAUCAUCACCUGCAUCAUCACGCUUGAACUGCAAACUAGAACCUCGAGGAAGAGGAGGAGGAGGUGGUAGAAAAGGAUAUUCUGUGAUACCAGAAGGAACUCCCUUCCCAGCUCUUCUUGUAGCAUUCCCAGCUACUUCAAGCUUUUCCUCUGUCUCGCCAACUUCGG